CUGGGGUCUCAGGACAGGUGCUGUUACCGCGAAACAAUAGAAAUAUCAAGGUCUGUUCUCUGCAGCACGGCUGCUGUCCCCAUUGGAGAGCGAGGGGAUGGAUGGACCAGCGCCUUAAUGAGGGGUGUCUGACAGUGGGUCCCCAAAUCCUUGGUGGUUCAGAGGCUGGAGCAAGAGCUGGGGAAGCCAAACGGUGCAGUUAUCAUAGUUCAGGAGGUGUUAAAGUUGGUGUCGACACAUCCUCAUCUGUGGGGAGAUGCAAUGGGACCCUGAAAGACGCAGAGCUCCCAGUGUUUUCUUGAGGACUUCAUGUCAUCCCUCCUCUUCCCUUUUGAUUGGAGAGGACAAGCCAUGUGUCUUUAGAGGUGGAUAUGAAUCAUAACCCAGAGGCAGCAACAACUCCCAUGGCAACAUCCAAGAACAUUUACCAGGCUCGUUUCUGGGAAAAUGACAAAUAUGAGCUACAUGUGAGCCUGAGAUCUGCUUUCCAGUAAGUCAGAAAUGGCAAAGUGUCCUAAACUUUCCUUUCCCCUACUACAAAGAGUCCAUGGAGUUACUGUAGUUCUGCUUUCAGUCCUCUUAGCCAGCAGUGAAGCUCCGCACCAAAACAACACUGAAGUGCCUGAACCACAUUUUUCGAGAUUCAGAAGAAUUUAUGAACCCAAAUCGCAUCGAUUUCCUUCCAAACCAUUACCCCAACAAUGCCCUUCUCUCCCAGCUAGGCCAGUCUCACCUCAUUUGCACUUUACUCUCUCUCCAUUUACCCCCCUCUCUAUUAUCUUUUAACUAAGGAUCGUUGCAGAUUCUCAUUCCUGGUCAUGCUUUCAGGGCCAGCAUUUUCUCUGCAAGGAGGAGCAGGAAGCACUCGGGCCUCAUCCAUCUGUGGCUGGUGGAUGCCCUGCCCCCUUUUUUCAAGACCACUCCACUUAUCUAUCUUAUCCCACUUAAAGAAUACUGCUGGUGAGCCUCCUGUUUCUGCUUCAGGGCCUGUUUAUCUGAACUGCUACCCUUACAGGCAAACACCUCUGAUGAGAAUUUAGUUCCAGUUAAAGUUUAGUUCACAUUUAAAGUUUUCUUUUAAAGGCACAGUUAUUUCUAAUGUACUCAUAUAGCUGAGGGGAAGUUUUCUGAUAUCAAAUAUUAGCUUACAUUACGGAGUUGAGAAUUUACAUAGGGAACACCAGAAAAAAAGGAGAAAGUCGGGGAAGAGCAAAUGGAAAAGGACCUUUUGAAAGGAAGAAACAGCUGGAGCCCAGCUCGAAGAGCAGAAAGACUGUAGUGCAGGGAAAAUAGAGGACAAGGUGAGAAAGGGCAAAGGAGAACUGAGAAGGGGAGCUGAUAGAUUGAGGAGGGGUGAAGACAGAGAGGGAGUGAGAGCAAAUGGAUAGAAUAGCCAGAAAAAAAAAAAAAAAGAAAAUGAAGAGCAAAUCCGAGCUUUAGUGGGUUUGGAGAACAGUAACAUUUGCUUUUUGCAAAGUUUUGGUGGUUUUUUUUUUGAAUGGAGGAAUGUCACAGAAGACCAUAAGAGAAGGCAGAAUGUCUGAGCACUACCAGUAAAGAGAAGGAGCUGUAGAUGGAUAUUACACACACAGAGGUGACUACAUCUUGAGGUCCCAAAGCACAGUGGGGCCUCACAUCUCCCUGUAGCUGGUGCUGCCUGCUGCCAUCAAUGACUUUGGCGGUUCUGAGCCCUGCUGGCAAUAGGAACUACCAGGUGUGUGGAGCACAGUGUCUCACAGGCCCUGAGAAACACAGAGGUCUCCCUGUGAGCACAAAGCAUGCUCCUUCUCCAGCACUAAUCCCAAGGGAAACAGCCAAGAGGAACUCCGGAAGGUGAAAAUGCAAUUAAAGCCAAUGAGAUGUUCUGCUAUUUAAUGGGUGCAGAGGAAAGAGGGUCUGCCUCCCGGGUCAUUCCUUUCCCACCCACAGUGAACAUGACAGACCCUCAGCCCCUGCUCCAUCCCAUCGUGCCUCUCAUGGCCCUCAUCGUUCACAACACCAACCCUUCUGAUGUCCAUGGCCAGCAAUUGAAAGACAAUUAGGUAAAUGCAUAAGUUUGGAGGGGAGGGGAUUUACACCUCCUGUUGCCCUUGCAAUGAAUUACCAGGACUGGUAAUGGGCUGCUGCCCCAGCGCCUCGUAAAUCGUGCGACUGAGGCCAUGCAGUGAUGGGUAGCUUUGAUCAGGACACGCUGCCCUGCCACCAACAGGAAAAGGAAGAGGUGAUUUUUCAAGGGUUACUACUCACUUUGGCCUCCAAGUUUUCCACUCUGUUGAAACUUUGACAGUGCCUAAUAAUCCAUCAGCAAGGCUUUCCCUGCUUUGCUUCCACUCCAUUACCACCUUCAUGUUCCCGUUUCACUUCUUUCACACGGACCCCGGAAAGGCUGACCAUGUCCCGCCAUCCCAAAGCAGCCCCGAGGGUGGGGGAAAGGGCAGGGGUGCCUCUAUGCCUUUCCCAGGAGGAAAGGAAUAAAAACCAGGAGCCAACAUGAAGGGAAGGAGUCCCUGAGUGACCACAGAUGUACCUCUGAAUCCUUGCACCUGAAGAGGAGCAGUGAGCCUCCAGGGGACCACUUGGGACCCCAGAUCAGAUGUUGCUGUUGGUGGUGAAGCCCUGAAGUGCCUCAGAAGAAAGGCAAACAAGAGGUUACCUUCAGUACUGAGCUGUCACCUGAUGUGUGAGGGUUAGAGCUCUUGGGGUCCAUCCAAGAUCCUCUAGAGGACUUGCCAUGCUGGAAGAGUAUGGGUGUUCUCCAGGUCUCUUCUCACAUCUGCCAUCCACGCCUGCUGUCUCACAUACCUCAGGAUGCUUCAAGUAGUGCGGUACAUUUGGGUACCUGAGCGCAGUCCUUUGUCCCCACCUCUUUUCACAAAACUUUGAUGCUUAGAUUUAUCCUCCAGACUCAUCCCUUCUCUUCACAGGUCCUUCCUUGUGUCUCCUAUGUAUUAGACCAACACAUUGUCUGCGUUCAAUUUUACACAUUCUGCCUUCUGAAUCGAACAAAAUCCUCAGAACUGCACUGUUUUCUUAGACUAAUGAAUUCUUUGAGAGGGGUAAAAAUCACCUCAGUAAUAAAUCCAAACUGUGAAGGCCUGAUGUAUCUGUUUUUCUGUUCACCUCCACUGCUGCUAGACAGCAUUAGCCCUCACCUAAUACAGAGCGCAGACUUGAUACAACCUUGUUUAGCACAAUUGGUUUGAAUCCAUUAUAUUGACAAUAUCAAUUUGUGUAAUUCCUGCAUUAGGAUUUUCAGCUAAACUGUAUUUGAAAGGAGCUGUUGACCUUGAUUAGCUCUUUAAUUGUGGUUAAAAUCCAAAGUAAUUCAGAUACCAGCCUUGACUGUGGAAGGGAAGGGCCAUGCCAUGUGAUGGCACAGUCAAUAACUGCUGCGUUCCCCACGGACAGAGCUCCCAUGUUAUAUUGGCUG
This is a long non-coding RNA of Gallus gallus (chicken), 3430 nucleotides long. Lineage: Eukaryota; Metazoa; Chordata; Aves; Galliformes; Phasianidae. The record is from Ensembl.